GAUGAACGCUGGCGGCGUGCUUAACACAUGCAAGUCGAACGGAAAGGCUCUUCAUUGCAGGGGUGCUCGAGUGGCGAACGGGUGAGUAACACGUGGGUGACCUGCCCUGGACUUUGGGAUAAGCCUGGGAAACUGGGCCUAAUACCGGAUAGGAGCACUGGUUGGAUGCCAUGGUGGGAAGUUUUUCGGUGUGGGGUGAACUCGCGGCGUAUCAGCAUGUUGGUGGGGUAAUGGCGUACCAAGGCGGCGACGGGUAGCCGGCCUGAGAGGGUGUACGGCCACAUUGCGACUGGGGUACGGCCCAGACUCCUACGGGAGGCAGCAGUGGGGAAUAUUGCACAAUGGGCGCAAGCCUGAUGCAGCAACGCCGCGUGCGGGAUGACGGCCUUCGGGUUGUAAACUGCUUUCGCUGGGGACGAAGCGCCAGUGACGGUACCUGGAAAAGAAGCACCGGCUAACUACGUG
This 465-nucleotide ribosomal RNA is filed under the name uncultured bacterium. RNAcentral describes it as "partial 16S ribosomal RNA". It matches the Rfam family "Bacterial small subunit ribosomal RNA", at positions 28 to 507 of the family's 1533-position model. The record is from RNAcentral.